AACGAACGCUGGCGGCAGGCCUAACACAUGCAAGUCGAGCGGACCCUUCGGGGUUAGCGGCGGACGGGUGAGUAACGCGUGGGAAUAUGCCCUUCUCUACGGAAUAGUCCUGGGAAACUGGGGGUAAUACCGUCUACGCCCUCUGGGGGAAAGAUUUAUCGGGGAAGGAUUAGCCCGCGUUGGAUUAGGUAGUUGGUGGGGUAAUGGCCUACCAAGCCGACGAUCCAUAGCUGGUUUGAGAGGAUGAUCAGCCACACUGGGACUGAGACACGGCCCAGACUCCUACGGGAGGCAGCAGUGGGGAAUCUUAGACAAUGGGGGCAACCCUGAUCUAGCCAUGCCGCGUGAGUGAUGAAGGCCUUAGGGUUGUAAAGCUCUUUCAGCUGGGAAGAUAAUGACGGUACCAGCAGAAGAAGCCCCGGCUAACUCCGUG
RNAcentral lists this ribosomal RNA (433 nucleotides) under uncultured bacterium. RNAcentral describes it as "partial 16S ribosomal RNA". It matches the Rfam family "Bacterial small subunit ribosomal RNA", at positions 29 to 507 of the family's 1533-position model. The record is from RNAcentral.